This 822-nucleotide long non-coding RNA is filed under the name Panax ginseng (ginseng). RNAcentral's name for it is "long non-coding RNA (PGIN_LNC019080)". Lineage: Eukaryota; Viridiplantae; Streptophyta; Magnoliopsida; Apiales; Araliaceae. The record is from RNAcentral.
GGAGAAUAGAACCGCAGUGGAGGGUAGGGUAAUCAAUAGAGAGCUAUUUGGAUUCACAACUGAAGUAAAUGCGCAUUGGUUCGGACGGUUUGCUUUUAAUUGGGUUGCAGCGAAGCUACAGUCAGACACAGGAGAAGAGAAGAGAAGAGAGAGUUUUAGAGAGCGAGCUUGGAGCUCUUUCAGGUGUUUCACACAACAAUUCAAAACAGUGUUGUUGUUUUGUUGUGUGGAGUGGAACCAUUUUUCUGCACCAUUUUACUCUUAUUUGGUGUCUACUUUAUGUGGUGUCACAUUUUGGGAUCUGGGUUUCCUGGUAUAGCGUCUGAGGUUUUGAUUUUCCUCUCUUUAUCGGGUUUCUAGCAAUUUGUCAACGUUUGGACUAUCUAUGAACACGGGAUUUUAUUUUCUUGGCUUUUCUUGAAUCUUAGGGGGUCUUGAUUUUCUUUGGGUUUUAGUGUUUUUUUCUUCUCUCUCCUACAUCUGGAAUACUGAUUUUUUCAUCUGCAAACUUUUACUCUAUUCCCCUCUUUUAUUCUGAGUCUUGAAGAAGGUUAAUCUAGGGCUUUUCUUUAACUGGUUUUAGAUCAGCUAAAGUUGAGCUCUUUUGACCCAAUCUCUGCUGCGUGUGUUUGAAUUUCUUCUUAAAGCAAAGUCUCAGGGGGGCUUUCCUUUAUGUUAUCUACGAUUUGUUUUUUGAAAGCAAAGGUUUAUUCUGGGAUUGCUUUUAGUCUGAUUCCUUUUGCUUUCUCAGUCUAGGGUUUGAACUUAAACAUACUUUCUUGGCAUUUGGGGUUGGAUGAGCUGAACAAAAUCCUCUAUUCU